Bombus terrestris (buff-tailed bumblebee) is the source of this 3957-nucleotide long non-coding RNA. RefSeq lists it as uncharacterized. The transcript has 4 exons. NCBI's taxonomy places the organism in Eukaryota, Metazoa, Arthropoda, Insecta, Hymenoptera, Apidae. The record is from RefSeq and is a predicted model, not a curated record.
GAUGUGAAGCGUCAGAAGUUUAUAGAGAAAACGGAUAAGAUAAAGAACAAGACGAGCCACUCUGUUUACAAAGUCGGAGGUGUACUAGAACGCAGAGUAGGAUGGAAAAGGGAUCGAUAGCACGAAGAACACGUGCCGUAUAACCCUAAGCAUCAGAAGUGACUAUAUUGCAGAAUUAUGUGGCUCUAUCUAGGCGCGGUUGUAAAAGGGAGUUGGAAACCUGGCGUUCAUUCGUAAUUCAAACUGUUACCGCGUGACCGACCAUGCGACAUCUAAUGGCACCACUGACGCAGAAUCGAUCUUUGACGGUUUUAAUAACGUUAGCAAACUCGACCUUUGGAAUUCUACCAAAAAUGACCAAAUGCCUUCGAAAUUGAAUAACCCUUUAGAUUAUAUUUCCUUAAUUUUAUUAACAUCAUAGUUGACUUUUAUUUAUUUUAUUUAUUUAUUUUUCCCUAGAAAUGAUUGUUGGAAAACCUAACCUAAAUAUUAUCACAAAAAUAUUAAAGAAACAAACUUAAAUGUACAUUUAAUUCGAAGUAAAAAUAUUCCGGCAGAAGAGGACUUAUUGUAUUCGCACAACGAACUGCCUCCAACUGGACCGAACUGGAACUACGCAGUAUCGUUUUUUGUUUGGCCUGGAGAUACCGAGUUCCAUGUGGAACGCUCACAGGAACUCAUGCGAGAGGAGUCGGAAAAUCUUCGGACGUCUCUUUAUGCAAAAAUAUAAAGAACACGAUGGAGGACGCAGAAAUUGGAACGCUCCGUGAUCUAGGACGCAAUUUGGCAAAUUGGACUUGCACAUACUCGCGAGAUAAAGCACAAACAUUCUAAAUAUGAAUGAAGUUAGCAGGCUGAAUAAAUGACCAAAUUUUUCACAUAAUAACCAAGCAUAUUUAUCACGAACUCAAUUUGCACAUGAAGUUUCUAUGUCCAUCCAAUUUUGUCACAUUAAUUCACUCGCAUGCUAACCAACAAGCUUAGAAGAUAAAUGAAUUUCAAAUAUGGGUCGCUUAAAAGACAGUCGUUGCAUCUUCUGAUAAACUCAUCAGCCUGAUGUAAGAGAGUAGAGCUAGAGAGUUUUUCCAAUAGGAAUACAUUACAAUUUUUCUGCUCCAAUAAGUCCAGCAGAUAAGUAAAACUACUGAGGAAUUGAAUAACUUCGUACAUGUUUUAUAAUUCUUGGAAAAAGUACGUAUACACGAAUAUAUAAAAGCACGUAAUAUACAAAUUGUUCGGUUUUAGUGAUAUAAAAUGUUUACAAGAAAUUAUUCUGAGUGAUUAAAUCAAAUAUUAUUCAGAUUAAAAGGUUUGAUCUACAAAAUGAACAAUAUCGAUGAGUCCCAUAAGCAUUGGAAAGAAGUUAUCAAUCGACUUAGAAUUAACAGAAGUUAUCAAUUGACUUAGAAUUAACAGAAAGUUAGUCAUUUAACAAGACCAACAAAUAUCCAAAUCUGUUAACCGUAACCAACAAAAACCAAUUCCGUACACGAGUUACUUAAGUGAUUUUUCCUCUAGCAUAACCUUCUGUCUUGUCCUCGAGUUUCGAUAUUAUCUCGAGCUAAACGAGACAGGCAGCGCUUGAAAUCCGAUAUCGGAAAGGCCAGUAGCUAAACAAACAUAAACGUUCAGAAGAUACCAAUAUUUAUAAAGGUGAAUAAGAUUUGUAGUCUAUAAUAGAAGAUAAAAGUGCCUUUUUCAACAAAGUUGUCAACUUAAUCUUCUCUAAAUGACUUUCAUCAGAUAGACGUGAAAAACAUAAUGAAACUUCCCAACCUAUACAAAACGACUCCUUUAUCACGUAACUUCAAUGAAUAAGGGAAACUUUGAUAAAAAAAAAAAUUUUUUUAGUCUCUGGUUACUCUUUUACAAAGAGCGUAAUUUUCAUACUUAAUUCGACUAAUUCAAUGACGUAACAAAAUUCAGGUUGCCGCCUGAAAUAGUAUCUAACUUGAUCGCAUGCAAUUCUGAUGGGAAUACACCUUCCGACCUAACACAUACAAAGAAAAUGAGCGGGUAAGAUCUUCGAAGAUGGAGCAAAUUCAUUGAUUGAAUGACAAGUACAGAACAAGAGAAAUUCUUCCGCCAUCUUUUUUCGUCUUCAAGUUUCCAUAGUAACCACAUCAGAUGAGCCCAUUAACAAUUUUCUUGGAAAAUCACUAGGGUUAUCCCUACCUAUGUUGGAACAAACUUAACACAUUCAUAAUAACAAAACAAUUUAAUCCUACAAGUGAAGUAAAAAAAAUUAAAAUUCGAAGAGGAUGAGUUUUUUGAGUUAUUUGAAAAGGUUAGUUAAACAAAAAUAAAGUAGGCUACACAGUGCUUCAUCUCGAUUCGAGCGAUUAUUUCGGGUCAGGUGUUUUCAUGGAUUUCUGUAACAAUUUCGUACAACACUGUUUUGCAUCGUGAUGUUAAAUAAUAUCAAACGAUCCAACUACGUGCUCCCUACGUGUACAUUAAAAUGCAUUUUUUUUGGCACCUAAUUACAGUCCAAAAAUUACACAUAAUUACACACCAUUGGAAUUCGUAAGGAUGCCUGUUGCGAACAAAUUUCGCCUUACACGAAUAAUAUUGUAUAGAAAGUCAACAUGCAUGAGAAUUCUAUGAUGAUUCAACGUAACUCAAAAGAAAUGUUAUUUGAAUUAUCGGUUAAUAAUUUGAUGGUAAUAUAAUGUAACUCCCCAGAACGAUUACGGGCAUUUUAAAUUAAUUGAAUAAACCUACCUAAUUCUCGACAGAUGUAAGCUACAAAGCAGCAAUGGGUACGCGAGGUCACACGACCUACCAUUUCGAUGACGAAUCGGUAAAAUUAUAAAUAAGCUACAACACUGCAUACGAAUCCGUAUACAUCAUAGUGGUAUUUGCCAGCAGCUGUAACAAAGGUCGGGCAUCGACUAAGCAUUAUGAUUCACCAUAACGACUCAUUACACUUCACACUAUCAUUAAGAAAUAAUAUAUUCUUAAGUCGCCGAUAAUUAGAUUAUUAGCUUGUCGUUCCACAAACGGAUAAUACAUUAAUGACAAUUCAUAACUUUUCCUUUUCAGCCGAAACUGAUGAAGAAUAAAACGUCAAUAGAAUUGUAAUUAUUUGAAAAGACAAUCUUUUAAAAUCAAGUCAAAUGAAAAAACAAAAAAACAAUUUAUUCAACAUUCUUAGUUUAAAGAUUAGUAAUAAGCCUGAUAAAAUCAAUAAGUUCAAAUAAAACUUUUAAUGAAUCCUUUUAAUCAAUCGUCAUGGAUUAUCUAUAUACAGGUAGUGACUAGCAUUCGAGAUCAGUUCUAACCUAGACCUAACCCAGACCUAGAAUACAGAAAGACAAAAGUUUUCAGUCAGUUCAAUCGAGUAACAGUUAUGUAAUAAACUAAAGAUACUCUAAUGGAUUUAUUUUGGUGACGCAUAAAGCAAUCCUUGAUGUGGGAAUAUAUGGCGGAACAAGUAAACCAAAAACGUCGCCCUAGUUAGUUAAACGAGGGUCGCUAGUCACUCUAGUUGCCUGGGUAGUACUGCCUGCUUACUUAUCGAUAGAAUAACAUGUAAGAAAGCGAUCGAUUGAAGCGCACGAAAUUGUUCGUGCCUUCGCGUUCUACGGACAGAGUAUAGAAUAGUGAGCUCGGCAAAAAACGUUUACAUUCGGAAUCGAUCGGCGCACUCAUGCCCACUACCAUGAAUAAUGGACAGAUAUCAAGAUAUUUUCUCUGAUCCUUUUGAUGAAAAAUUAGAAACACUUUUUAAGUCAUUUAUAAACUGUGAAUAUUUAUGUAAAUUUAGAUUUUUAUCAAAAUGAUUAAAAAAAUGAAACCUAAAUAGGAAUUUCUCUCACCUAGUACAUCUCAUAACACUUUUGGAUAUUUUAUACUUUUUCAUAUUAUAUGCAUUCUGCAAAUUUUGUACUUUUCCUUUUCUUAGUUUUCUAUAAAUGCACGAACAUCCACAAACUCAUAUUUUUAUAACUUAUA